RNAcentral lists this ribosomal RNA (253 nucleotides) under uncultured bacterium. Its description in RNAcentral is "partial 16S ribosomal RNA". It matches the Rfam family "Bacterial small subunit ribosomal RNA", at positions 524 to 776 of the family's 1533-position model. The record is from RNAcentral.
UACGGAGGGUGCGAGCGUUAAUCGGAAUCACUGGGCGUAAAGCGCACGUAGGCGGUGAUGCAAGUCAGCUGUGAAAGCCCUGGGCUUAACCUGGGAAUGGCAGUUGAAACUGCAUGACUGGAGUCUGAGAGAGGGGGGUGGAAUUCCAGGUGUAGCGGUGAAAUGCGUAGAGAUCUGGAGGAACACCGGUGGCGAAGGCGGCCCCCUGGCUUAAGACUGACGCUGAGGUGCGAAGGCGUGGGGAGCAAACAGG